CUGGAAAGCUACACUUCCAACAGAUGUAGUAGCAAGGUUUUAGUGGUUCAGCUAGUGUGGUAGCAGUUUCAGUAAGUGCAGUAGCAGGUUUUCAGUGGCUCAGCUAAUGUAGUAGCAUGUUUGCUAGAAAGCUACACUGCCAAUAGAUGUAGUAGCAAGGUUUUAGUGGUUCAGCUAGUGUAGUAGCAGCUUCAGUAAGUGCAGUAGCAGUUUUUCAAUGGCUCACGUAGUAGCAGAACACAUUAACAACACACACAGUAGCAAGACACAUCAACAACAACAUGUAGUGGCAGCACACAACAACAGCACACGCAGUAGCAGCACACAACAACAUACAACAACAACACACGCAAUAGCAGCACACAACAACACACAUCAAUGAAGACUAGACAAUAAAGGUUAACUCUGCUACUGCCUUAUCCUCCACUUCUGCUACUGCAUUAUCCUCCACUUCUGUUAUUGCCUUCUCUUGCUUCGGACUAAAAGGCUCUGCUACUGCUCCUGACCCAACGGCUCUGCUACUGUCUACUGGCAGGCUCUGCUACUGUUGCCGAUUAUUAGGAAGCUGCUACUGUUACUGCUGAUGCUACUACUUACUAAAACAUACCGCUACUGUUAACCAUAGAGGUGCUACUGCCGACUGAGAUCCAAAUCUACUUGCCUCCCUUACCUUUCUUAGUCUACUUCAACAGUGGAUUAACACCACCAAAGCACCUCCAGUAGCAAUAACUUCAUUCCUCCACACAUUAAUUAACCAUACAACCAUAGCACCCAAAUGAAUUCAAUUAUAAUUUCCAUCAACAAUUAUAAAACCAAACUAAAAAUGAACAUCCACAUGUAGAUCUAUCCCUGCAAUCAUCGACAUCCACAACCUCCAGAACAUCGUAGUAACUAAGAUCUACAAGCACGCCUAUGUCACCCAAUGCUCAAUCGAGCAUGGAUAACUCAAAGCAUUUGAGGGCGACAAUUCAUGGCCUUUGAAGUGGUUGAUCUCCUUGAGAAAAUGCGAUCCGCCACACCAGAUCGGUGAAGCAUCAACGACAUCGUUGAUGAGUUGCAGAAGCUCUGAUUUGCGGUGGUCGUCGCCGGCGGCAACUCCGUCGAAGGCAUAUGGAAGAAGAGAGUGGAGAAGAGGCAAGCCAUUGAUUCUGAUUCCGAGUUUUCGAAUCAAAACCAUAGCUUAGAAUCAGAGAGAGAGAGAGAGAGAGAGAGAGAGAGAGAGAGAGAGAGAGAGAGAGAGAGAGAGAGAGAGAGAGAGAGAGAGAGAGAGAGAGAGAGAGAGAGAGAGAGAGAGNNNNNNNNNNNNNNNNNNNNGAGAGAGAGAGAGUGAAUCAUAUCGGGAGGAAGAGAGAAGGAAGGGUGUGGCAUAUCAUGUAAUUUUGUUGAAAAACUAAACAUUUUGGUAAUUUUCCACUUGAAAUCCAAGUCAUCUCUCUUCCUAUCUGUUAUUGGGCUUUGAGCUUAUGUCCUUAUUUGUUUAAAUCUUUUAAAAUGUGGGUUUUCUGUUUUUUGCAACUGUUUGGAGUAGUGAGAUGUCAUUUUCUAUUCUAUAAAUGAUAUAUUAAUAUUACUUUCUUUCAAAAAAAUAUAUAUAUAGAAAAGCAUUUAAUUUUGCAUAAUAGAAUAGAAGAGCCG
Molecule: long non-coding RNA, 1635 nt
Filed under: Fragaria vesca (wild strawberry)
Lineage: Eukaryota; Viridiplantae; Streptophyta; Magnoliopsida; Rosales; Rosaceae
Description: long non-coding RNA (FVES_LNC001334)
Source: RNAcentral